AAGCACUGGGAUAAAAUCCUGCACGCCGCGCGCUCCUCGUCUUCCACCUCUGCUCCUCCCGCGCUUAGCUCUUGGUGCGGAUCUCCUGGCCGGUUCACAACUUCUAGCUCGUCAAGCUCGUCCCCAUGGCGCGCCAGUUCGGAUUUCCCUCCCUGCCACUCGGCCUUGCCCCCUGCUCACCCCUGCAACCCUGCCGAGCCCUAACCCCAGCCAGCCGAGCUCAGGCGCCCAAUCCAUGGCGCACCCAGCCGCGCCCUUGUCCAUCUGCUCGGCCGCGAGCUUCCCUGCUCCCGUGGUUAUCGAAGCUCCAGGUGCGCACGUACGCACUGAAGCCUUUGGGGUCCAUGACGAUAUCGUGGAGAGCCGCAGCGUUGUCGCUCGCGUGCCUCGUCGCCGUGACAACGGCGCUGGUGGACGGCGCGCUGCUCCCCGAACUCGCUCUGCGCUCGGCUUCUUCUCCGUGGAGCUCGCCUCUGCGCCUGACUCCUGCUCGUCGAAUCUCCAGCCGCGCCGUCGCCUUGCUGCUCGCCAGCGUCUUCUCUGCCCCUGCGCAUCCAUGGCGAUUUCCCCUGCGGCAGCUUCCUCGGCGCGCAGCCUCCCUCCCAGCUCAGCCGCCUGCUUCUCUCCACUGCUCGUCGCGCCCAGCUACAGCUCGCCGUGCCCUCGCCGCUCCCUUCUCCUCCUCUGUUUGCCCAUCUCCAUGGCUGCCGUCGAAGGCUCGAAGCUUCCUGGCACGCUCGUUGUGCUCUGGUCGGAGGAGGAUUUGCUGCGCGCCCAAAUCUUCUUCCUCCCAUUCCCAGCUCCCUCUGCUCGCGACGUGCGCCCAGCGAUGGAGUCUCGCGGUGCUCCUGUUCCCUGUCUAUCGCGCCAUCGAUCCCGCCUGAGCCCCUUCGCGUUCGUGGAAGCUCCCUGCCGUCGCUCAGCUCACCGGCGUGCGUCCUGCUCCUUAUGCGCCCAGCGCCGUGCGCCGGAAAGUCCCUGCGCGCAAGCUAUAUGUUGGCCGCGCGCGAAGCUAUCUGUUCGUCGUCAUCGCUCGGUCGCGCGACAGGUGGACUGUGUGUUGUGUGUCGCACAUCCUAGGUCCUUGUAGUCGUGUCGUACGUGCAACAGUCGCGGAUCUGUGCCGCCUUGGUCUUGUUGUCGACAUCGUUCGCCGUGGCAUAGUCGUGGAACUUCCUCGGCGCCGCGCACGUCAGAUCGUUGGGUCGCGUCUUGCUCGGCUCUCAUGCCAUUGAUUUUGGCUCCGGUGCGGGCUCUUCUCUGGUGCUUGUCGGCCUCGCCGUCGUUGUCGUGACCGUGAGUCCUGUUGUCUCCCUGCGUCGGUCUCUACCUGUGCUCAAGUCAUGCCACUAGUACCCUCGCCGUGGAACUGUUCGUCACCAUGCUCGACAAGCUCUAGUCGCACGCGUGAAUUUUCUUCGCUCGGCUUUAAUUCCCAAUCGCGUCGUCGAUUUCGCCGGUUAGCGUCGUUCGUCGUCGCAUCGCGUGUGUAGCUCUAUAUAUGUCACCCUCCUAUGUCGUCGUCGAUCCGUGCGUCAGCAAGAAAUCUCAAGAGUCGGGUGAAGACGGAAUUAGCAGCGUGGUGUUCACCAAGUGCGCGACAAAAAGCUCGAACAUCCUGCACGACUCAGGUUCGAUUCAUCAAAAUUAUUCAGUCGAAGAAAAGAUCUUCAACAAUUGAUUACCGAAGAAAAGAAAGCCCCUGGAUGAGGUCAACCGGAACCGUCGUCGUACUUGCGACUAUUGUGUCGAAUUAGUCUGGGUAAGUUGAUUCGUAUUCCAGUCAACUAAGCCUAUAAAUAGAUUAAAUAGAAUUGUUGGUCGCAAUAAAUCUUAUUAAUUUAGCAUGUGUAUAUUGUGAUGAUCGAUUUAGAUAAACCGGUAAAUCAAGUAAUUAGGAUACAUAGUUUAAAGAGUUCAUAAAAAGCUAGGAAUAAAAAUAGAUUUUCUAGUGUAUUUGGGUCAAUUUGGUUAAUGGAUGUAGUCGAUGCUCUGCUGUGAUAUCCAUGAUGCUUAAUGCUUGAUUUUAAAGUGUUUCAUCCUUUUAGUGUAGAUUAUCUAUAUUAUACUCGUUAUACAUGUACUCAUACAUGUGCAUCGUGCAUCUCAUGAGGUACGAUAAAUUAAUCACGUGAGGCGGAAGCCAAGCCAAGUCGACCUCAGGCGCGGACUAAUUUGCAAGAUGAUGCUGAUGGACGAACCGGAAGAUGGAUAAUCUGAACAAGUGCCAAGCCCAAGGAUGAUCGUCAAGUGGACGUCACCUAACAACACUAACCUAGUGUUACCCAGGUUUUAACUUUGUGCUGCUGUUGAUGGUGUUAAGUGCCGGUGGGCUCGGCCUUCUUAUAGGUUUAAGUAGCUCUCCUAUACUUCUUAUUGAGGAUGGUCACUUGAGCUAGCAUAUAUUUCAAACUUAUACUUUUGUAAUCACUUCGAUAAAAUAAUGUAAAAUUUUUGUAACUUGUAAAAUUUGGUAAUAAGAUUUCCG
RNAcentral lists this unclassified non-coding RNA (2488 nucleotides) under Zea mays. Its description in RNAcentral is "misc RNA Zm00001eb086600". Lineage: Eukaryota; Viridiplantae; Streptophyta; Magnoliopsida; Poales; Poaceae. The record is from RNAcentral.